This 467-nucleotide long non-coding RNA is filed under the name Hordeum vulgare. Its description in RNAcentral is "long non-coding RNA (HVUL_LNC001643)". The record is from RNAcentral. Lineage: Eukaryota; Viridiplantae; Streptophyta; Magnoliopsida; Poales; Poaceae.
AAAAGCUUCAACCGUCUAAAAAAAGCUUCAACCAGUAUACGACGGGAGCUAUGGAUGACCAACAAAAGUUACAACCGGUGACAAAAAAAGUUUCGUCUAGCAACGAAAAAAGCUUCAUCCGACUAUGAAAAAAGUUUCAACUGUGAAGGCGAAGCCAUGGACGAAAAACGAAAAGUUGCAACCGGCAGUUACAAAAGUUAUAACCGCAUUGAAAGAAGUUUCAAACAUCUUAUCUCAGCUGCGACCCGCGAUGACAAUGACACCGUUUUGCUGCAACUGUCGUAGAAAUUUGCUACCACCAGCGAUUGAAAUUGCUACAACCAAGAUUUCAUAGCUGAUGUUGCUCCUUCACCAAGCUCCGAGGCCAUGGAUGCUGCUGCUCCACCAAGCUCCGACACCCCCAGCGGCACUAUGGGAGAGCAGUAGAACGUGCAGACAACCAUGGAUGCCUUAACAAAGGAAGUGAA